AAACAUCUUUUCUUGUUAGUUUUUGAAGUAUGGCCUGCCCGCUGACAUUUGGUGUUGAAGGGCCGCGGUAUUUUGACCGUGCAAAGGUAGCAUAAUCAUUAGUUCUUUAAUUGUGAUCUGGAAUGAAUGGCUUGACGAGGCACGGGCUGUCUUAGUGUUGAAUGUUUUAUUGAAUUUGGUCUUUGAGUUAAAAUUCUUAGAUGUUUUUGUGGGACGAGAAGACCCUAUAGAGUUUGACAUUUGGUUUAUUUACUUGUUUGUUGUUUGUUUAUUUUUGGUGAGUGGGCUUUUUGUUUUGUUGGGGUGAUGGGAGGAAUGUACUUAACUCCUCUUAGUUUUGGUUAUAUUGAUUUAUAAUUGUUUGAUCCAUUUAUUUUGAUUAUAAGACUAAAUUACCUUAGGGAUAACAGCGUUAUCUUCCUUGAGAGUUCUUAUCGGCAGGGGGGUUUGCGACCUCGAUGUUGGAUUAAGGUGAAUUUUUGGUGUAGGGGCUGAAAGUUGUAUUAGGUCUGUUCGACCUUUGGAAUCUUACGUGAU
Molecule: ribosomal RNA, 537 nt
Filed under: Coptotermes gestroi
Lineage: Eukaryota; Metazoa; Arthropoda; Insecta; Blattodea; Rhinotermitidae
Description: partial 16S ribosomal RNA
Rfam family: Bacterial large subunit ribosomal RNA
Source: RNAcentral